GAGUUUGAUCCUGGCUCAGAUUGAACGCUGGCGGCAUGCCUUACACAUGCAAGUCGAACGGUAACGCGGGGGCAACCCUGGCGACGAGUGGCGAACGGGUGAGUAAUACAUCGGAACAUAUCCUGUAGCGGGGGAUAACCUGUCGAAAGAUAGGCUAAUACCGCAUACGAUCUACGGAUGAAAGCGGGGGACCGCAAGGCCUCGCACUAUUGGAGUGGCCGAGGUCAGAUUAGCUAGUUGGUGGGGUAAAAGCCUACCAAGGCGACGAUCUGUAGCUGGUCUGAGAGGACGAUCAGCCACACUGGAACUGAGACACGGUCCAGACUCCUACGGGAGGCAGCAGUGGGGAAUUUUGGACAAUGGGCGCAAGCCUGAUCCAGCCAUGCCGCUGAGUGAAGAAGGCCUUCGGGUUGUAAAGCUCUUUCGGUGAAGACGAAACGGUUAGCGUUAAUAACGCUGACUAAUGACGGUACUCACAGAAGAAGCACCGGCUAACUACGUGCCAGCAGCCGCGGUAAUACGUAGGGUGCAGGCGUUAAUCGGAAUUACUGGGCGUAAAGCGUGCGCAGGCGGUCUGCUAAGACAGGUGUGAAAUCCCCGGGCUUAACCUGGGAAUUGCGCUUGUAACUGGCAGGCUAGAGUGUGGCAGAGGGGGGUGGAAUUCCACGUGUAGCAGUGAAAUGCGUAGAUAUGUGGAGGAACACCGAUGGCGAAGGCAGCCCCCUGGGUUAACACUGACGCUCAGGCACGAAAGCGUGGGGAGCAAACAGGAUUAGAUACCCUGGUAGUCCACGCCCUAAACUAUGUCAACUAGUUGUCGGGGAAGAAAUUCCUUGGUAACGAAGCUAACGCGUGAAGUUGACCGCCUGGGGAGUACGGCCGCAAGGUUAAAACUCAAAGGAAUUGACGGGGACCCGCACAAGCGGUGGAUUAUGUGGAUUAAUUCGAUGCAACGCGAAAAACCUUACCUACCCUUGACAUGCUAGGAAGUCCGCAGAGAUGUGGACGUGCCCGAAAGGGAACCUAGACACAGGUGCUGCAUGGCUGUCGUCAGCUCGUGUCGUGAGAUGUUGGGUUAAGUCCCGCAACGAGCGCAACCCUUGCCAUUAGUUGCGACAUUUAGUUGAGCACUCUAAUGGGACCGCCGGUGACAGACCGGAGGAAGGUGGGGAUGACGUCAAGUCCUCAUGGCCCUUAUGGGUAGGGCUUCACACGUAAUACAAUGGUCGGUACAGAGGGCUGCCAACCCGCGAGGGGGAGCUAAUCCCAGAAAGCCGAUCGUAGUCCGGAUUGUAGUCUGCAACUCGACUGCAUGAAGCCGGAAUCGCUAGUAAUCGCGGAUCAGCAUGUCGCGGUGAAUACGUUCCCGGGUCUUGUACACACCGCCCGUCACACCAUGGGAGUGGGUUCCACCAGAAGUAGGUAGCCUAACCGCAAGGGGGGCGCUUACCACGGUGAGAUUCAUGA
RNAcentral lists this ribosomal RNA (1467 nucleotides) under metagenome. Its description in RNAcentral is "bacterial SSU rRNA". It matches the Rfam family "Bacterial small subunit ribosomal RNA". The record is from RNAcentral.